Long non-coding RNA from Chlorocebus sabaeus (green monkey), 1306 nucleotides. RefSeq lists it as uncharacterized. Lineage: Eukaryota; Metazoa; Chordata; Mammalia; Primates; Cercopithecidae. The record is from RefSeq and is a predicted model, not a curated record.
AUAAUAAGAUUAGGGUGGGGCUACCAGCUUUCCCUGCACACUAUGUAGAUAGCAUACCUGAUCGAACCAGUCUUUGAAUCCUAUGUAAAUCAGAUACUGCCUUCUCCAAUCUAUUGUAUCUGUUUUGGUCCACCGCCUCCCCACUUUUCAGAUCUCUCUCUCUCAAAGAGCUGCUCUCUUCUCUCCUUUCUUCUAUCUAUUAAACUUUCCACUCCCUAACCCGCCUACAUGUGUCUGUGUCCUGAAUUCUUGGCCUGUGACAACGAACCCCAGGGUGUAUACCCCAGACAGCACAGCCACUUCACCAGCAGGGACAGCAGCCGUCACAUGAACUGGAGAUGAAUUGGAGUACCACACUCUACCAGCUGGGAUGUCUGGGUAACAGGCUCCCCAGAUUGCAGCCUCCCCUCCAGCACCAGUGUCAAGAAAGCACUAUGGUAAAAGUCUCUCAGUAAAAAGUGAACCUUGGGGCUUGUUCCUGAGUUUGACAUGUUAAACAAAUUAAAGAACUGUUUUCAACUGAUUAGUCAUAUCCUUCUUCAAUUCCUAUGGGAAUGUGGAUUAGUUGUGCUUGAGAAAGUCAGCCAAUUUUGACAUGAAGAUGUCUUUCAGGCAGGUAGGCCACCUGUGAUGAAGUGAAUCAUUGAAGAAAGUCUAUUUUCUUGUGGCAUAAAUACAAGCCUGAAGAUUACAUGUAAGCUGUCAUACACGUACCUCCUAAAUGCAAUUCCUCAGAAGGGACAUGCCAUCAUCAUUCACAUUAAUGUCGAUUUGUGCAACUACAUGGUUUGAAAUAACCAAUUCAUCACAGUAGGUAUUUGAGAGGAGUGAGGGAGCUUUCUCUGUACUAAUGAAAAAAAUGACAUUUCUGUUUACCAUUUGUCAGUUUUAAGUAAUUAAUACAUGUCUGUAAUAAUUUUCAUAUUUUGAUAUGGUAUUCACUUGUAAGGAUAUGCAAUUUUUAAGAGUUAUGGUGAGAAUGUUUCUUCCAUAACAUUCAGCUUUAAAAAGUUUUAGGAAACUCUUCAUUAUGUCUCAAAAGUUAAAUGCAUGAUAAAUGAAAUGCCUCUUACUGGUUGCAAUUUUCUAAAUGUAAGUAAUGCCUAUUACUCUGAUAUUUAACUCAAAUAUAUUAACAAUAAUUGAAAGCUUUGGAGUGCUACAGGUUGAUAAUAAGCCUGAAAGUAUAGAAUAGUCAUCUGUAUGUGAAAAUUUUUAUUCUUAAAGCCAACAUAACAAAGUAAGAAUUAUGUCAGUGUUUCUAGCUGUCCCCCCAGAUCUAGCUCCUGAUAGAUAAUUGUCAAUA